RNAcentral lists this ribosomal RNA (442 nucleotides) under uncultured Parabacteroides sp. Its description in RNAcentral is "bacterial SSU rRNA". It matches the Rfam family "Bacterial small subunit ribosomal RNA", at positions 355 to 794 of the family's 1533-position model. The record is from RNAcentral. Lineage: Bacteria; Pseudomonadati; Bacteroidota; Bacteroidia; Bacteroidales; Tannerellaceae.
UGAGGAAUAUUGGACAAUGGAGGCAACUCUGAUCCAGCCAUGCCGCGUGAAGGACUAAGGCCCUAUGGGUCGUAAACUUCUUUUGACGCAGAGCAAUAAGGAUUACGUGUAGUCUGAUGAGAGUAUGCGUCGAAUAAGCAUCGGCUAACUCCGUGCCAGCAGCCGCGGUAAUACGGAGGAUGCAAGCGUUAUCCGGAUUCAUUGGGUUUAAAGGGUGCGUAGGUUGCCGAUUAAGUCAGCGGUGAAAGUCAGUGGCUCAACCAUUGAAUUGCCGUUGAAACUGGUUGGCUUGAGUACGUACGGGGCAGGCGGAAUGCGUGGUGUAGCGGUGAAAUGCAUAGAUAUCACGCAGAACCCCGAUCGCGAAGGCAGCCUGCCAGGCCGUGACUGACACUGAUGCACGAAAGCGUGGGUAUCGAACAGGAUUAGAUACCCUGGUAGU